RNAcentral lists this unclassified non-coding RNA (1598 nucleotides) under Hevea brasiliensis (rubber tree). Lineage: Eukaryota; Viridiplantae; Streptophyta; Magnoliopsida; Malpighiales; Euphorbiaceae. The record is from RNAcentral.
UUCAGAGUCCCGGAUUGUAUUUUCAACUGUAGCGGCUACUCGUUGAACUCAGAUGCUUCUUCUUCAAAAUCACGAAGCACAUUGAACUGCAAAUUCUAAAGUCGGCUGGAGAACCCAAAUCAAGCAAAACCAACUGGUGUCCCAAUUCUCCUCUAUUUUAGUCCAAAGACACAAUUGGGUCUCACUUCUCCAGAAUCUUAAUCUCUCUUCCAAGCUUACCCCUUCUUUUUUUCCUCCUAAUCAUCCUCAAAACCCAAUCCCAUCCUCAAAUUCUUCAUCCGGGCCAUUUCCAAUCUAAAAUUCAAGCCAGACCUCAAAUCUCAAUGCUAUGUCACCCAAGUUUCUGUCGGGUCGGAUCUUUCCAUUUCUGCAAAGACCAUCCUGGAUUCUCUGGUUUGAACCCACUCUGCAGAUGUACUCGUGAAGACCAUGGUUGAAGCUUGUAGAGAUAACAAUUAGCAGCAAUCUGAUUCAUUGCGUUGUUCUUGAAUUUUAUUUGCGUAAGGGUUUGUUUAUUGGAGGUGUAUUGGAAAAUGAGAUUUGUUGGAUGUACUCCUUCAGUUCAAGCCUUUAAUACACUUCUUGAUGUUUUGCAACGAGAAAAUAAGAUUAAAUUAGCUUGGUGUUUUAUGGUUCCAUGAUUCGAGUUGGAAUUUUGCUGUAUAAGUUUACUUGUUCACUGGUUGUUCAUAUAUUCUGCUUUAAGAUGGGAAAUUUGAGAGAAAUGUUAAGUUGUUAGACAUGGUUAUUUGUAAUUCAGUCAUGUAUAAUGCUGUUGUUGAUUAUUAUAGCAGAAGUGAGGAUUCUGAAGCUGUAUUUUAUCGCUUAAAUGAGAUGUCCCAUUCAGUACCUAUAGCUCCACACUGGAUGGAGCUUGCAAAUGUGGAAAAGUUGAAGUGAUUGAGAAAGUAAUAGCAACAAUGGUGGAGAAAGGAUUGCUUCCUAAGCCUCCUUUAUCUGAAUGUGGCUCAAUUAUCCAUGGGUUUUGCGAUUUGGGAAAUAUGAAUGCUACAACAAUGUUUUUCAAGAGAGCUUGUGAUGAGAGGAUUGAAUUGCAGGAUGCUAUGGGAAGCUAUCGGUUUAUACCGAGUAAUAAGUGGAAGAGUUAUCACAAUAAAGAAUAGUGCCUAUCGAGCAUUUGUAAAUCUUCUGGUGAGGAAGAUCAAUCUGAGGACAGAUAUGGAAUACUUGAAGGAUAUCAUGAGAAGGGGUUCUAGUCCUUUUACAUGUAGUUUGUGUAAAUUUAUCUCAUCGCUACGCAGGGAAAAAAAUUGGGGAGAGGUGGGCGAGCUGUUGAAUGCGGUUCUAGAGAAAGGGUUAUUGCCAGAUUCAUUACCCUUUUGCUUCCUAGUAAUGUUUGCUCCAGCAGACGGAUUGAUAAAGCCAUUGCUUUGCAUAAUAACUUGGAGAAAUCGCAAGCAAGUUUGGAUGUAACAACAGAUAACGUACUUCUUGAUGGUUUAGUUAAAGAAGGGAGGAUUGAAGAAUCAAUUACGGUGUUUGAUUAUAUGAAAGGACUCAAAUUAGUUAAUAGUGCAAGUUUUACAGUUAUAAUCCGUGGGCUUUGUCAUGCAAAGGAGAUGAGAAAAGCAAUGAAG